Molecule: long non-coding RNA, 2751 nt
Filed under: Acanthaster planci (crown-of-thorns starfish)
Lineage: Eukaryota; Metazoa; Echinodermata; Asteroidea; Valvatida; Acanthasteridae
Description: uncharacterized LOC110987345
Source: RNAcentral
GUCCGUCGCUGUCAGUUGGGCUCUGUUUGGACUGCGCAGUCUUUUCAUUACUGCUGUUCUGUCAACUGAAACCGGCAGGUAGGCCUGUGCAAAAUGAGAACCUUUACCGCGUCAUCUUUAGUGGCUCUCACGUGGUUGUGCUUGCCUUUGGUCGCCUAUUCUCAGGACCAACCUUUGUUGUGUUAUGCGUGUACCUAUCGCACUGUAGCCGACAGAGUCGUAGGGGAGUAUUGCAGCGAUCCUUUCAAUGGUGAAGUGUCUGCUAACAUUACCUGCGAUUCAAUGUGUGUGAAACGUAUUUAUAAGGGCGGCGUGGAGCAGAUCAAACGAGGAUGCUAUUCUGACAUAGUGGGAGCAACUGGAACUUGUGAGACUUACCACGACAGAGAAGUCCCCAAUUCGGAUCCACCAGAGACGUUGACGCAAUUAUGCUGUGUAGACUCGCUCUGUAACCAUGGCAACAUCAGCACUUCAGCGCUGAGCGUUCUAAGGUUAACUUUGUUUAGUCUCCUGUGCAUACGUCUGUCUGGAUGAUGUUUGCCACUAUUAAUCACUGAAGCACACCUGCGUAUAUUGUAAUGUAGUAAUUUUUUAUCUCAGUUUGCUUGUCUCCAUUUUAUAAACAAAGAGCAUGGCAUGAUAGCUUUUACUUUGUGCAUGCACUGUAUUCAGGGACUGUCGAUUUGAUAUCAAAUUUGUCAACUUUUUCACAGUUGGAAUUAUUGUAAUGAUUCAACAACUGACCACAUAAUUGUAUGUCACUUUACGCGUUUGUACGUUGAAAAUGUAUGUUUGAAACUAAUAAUUCAAACCAUGAUAAGCAUAUUGCACGAGAUAUAUUAGACUACAAGGGUAACAUUUUGUGGAAAAACAUUUAUUUACACUUCACGCAAUUAUGCUGUAAAGACUCGCUCUGUAAUUUGUCAUCAAAAAAUUGUUACUCAAAUGCUACUUUUUGAAAGGGAACAUUGACACGAGAUAGUGUGACGUCGUAGUUCUUAUGUCAUGUGCGUUUUGUCUUUCCUUGUGGUUUUCUGGGAUGAACUUUCCUGGCGAUUUGUCUUGGGCUGAUUUGUUAGGCAAUUUUCUGCAAUAAAUUCCGUGUUUUAGAUACAAUCAAUUUGAAAUCAAGUGCAAUGCACUUUUAUGUUCAGAAACAGUUCGAAAGAAAAUGGCAUGGCUCUCUAUUUUGAUAUAAAUUUUUAAAAUCCAAUGUUCUUAAGCCACACUGAGCCAGGUUGGUAUUCCAACAGCGCAUGCUCAGUCCCAGGCUAUUCGAGAACAGCAACGCGCGCGCGCGCGAUUGUCUGUCCUAUCAGCGCAACCAUACGCUGACUCGCGCGCGCUUUGUUCCCGAAAGACCUUGGAGUUUUAAAUACCGAACUGGCACAUUUAAGGGUGACAGUGUGUAUCUCAAAUGUUCUACAUUUGCAAAGUCCUAUGCAUACAGGCUCAUAACUUGGUGAUAUCAGACCAGUAUCCUAAAAACUAAUGUCUUAAAAAAUCCAUCACCAAUGACGUAGCGUCAUCCUGAGAUCUUUUCUUGUUUUUAGAAUUUGCAACAAAUUCUGCACAUAUGUGAUCUAUUUAAUCUGUACGUGUCCAUCGGCAACAAUACAAGAUGCUCUUUAUCAAAAGCUCAUGAAUGCAUAAUAUGCGAGAAGGCCGACCUCUUACUUGAACGGACAAGUGCCUAGUUUUAUUCUUUGUUUCUGUUUUAAGUACAUACCAUCUAGAGGAAAAAUUUGCUGGACUAGUUUAUACGCUCCUGUGAAGUACAGUACAUGGACAUGUAUUCUGGUUAAAUUAACCACUGUAAUUUACAAAAUGAGUCAGGUCAGUAUUUCAAAAAGGAAGGUCAUUCAGGAAAGCACGCCAAUCACGCGCGCGCCAAUCCCCGAUGACCUCAGACGCGCUUCAUUUGGGGCACGCACUGUCUUAACUCCGAACUGACUAAUUGUUAUAAUCUUACAAAUAUUGUCAAUUGAAAACUGAAAUAAACGCAGAAUUUCGGGCUGAAGUAUACAGGAAUGUAACACACUGUUGUCAUCGUUUUAUUUCCAUUGAUUAGCUCUUUUUGUUUUCUUCCGAAAUCGCGCAUCGACUGUAUGGUGGUGCCAUCUAAACUUGCGAUGGACUUUUCUAUGAAUAUGUGAAAUCGACGCUACAGUUUCACAAAUUAAAUGCAUUUUGCAUUAAAUGGUGCUAUGACUGCAGUAACAGGUGACUUUAGCCAGUACAUGUAUACAGUACAUGUAUUUAAUAUUACGUGCAGUAAUUGAACCACAUUUGCUUCAAUACAACUAGUCUAUCAUGCUAGCAAUGUACACACAAUAACUUACUUCUUACGUGCGGUUUUAAGUAAACCUAGGAACUGCUAGGCAUGUGAUAUAUACACGUUGUUUCAACAAACAGAAAGCAAUCAUUUUUCAAGUCCAAAACUGACCAAACUGUUAAAAAAAAUCAUACUUUCAAACGAUACUUUCUGCAAUGCAGCCGUCGCAUCAAAACGUUUAUCCGCGGAAAAGACACUUAAAAAUAAACUCCUAUCAGAAUAAAGAAUUAAGAUUUUUAAGUUAUUACGUUCUGAAGACCUUUUAGAGCACUAUAAUUGAGCCCAUUAACUGUAGACAAGUAUGCUACAGAACUCACUUUAUGUAAUACACCGUCUUAUACACACCAAAAGACCCCCCCCAAAAAAAAAAUUUAAAAAAAUAGAUUCCACGGCUCCAGCACAGCUAAAAAAAAAAA